CGGGACACAUGUCGCCCGCCCA
This 22-nucleotide non-coding RNA is filed under the name Arabidopsis thaliana (thale cress). The record is from RNAcentral. Lineage: Eukaryota; Viridiplantae; Streptophyta; Magnoliopsida; Brassicales; Brassicaceae.